GCUCCCUUCGGGGACAUCCGAUAAAAUUGGAAUGAUACAAAGAAAGAUUAGCAUGGCCUAUCUGCGAGGAUGAUAAGCACAAAUCAAAAAAUGGUUCAAAUUUAA
Molecule: small nuclear RNA, 105 nt
Organism: Rhododendron vialii
Lineage: Eukaryota; Viridiplantae; Streptophyta; Magnoliopsida; Ericales; Ericaceae
Source: RefSeq, a predicted model, not a curated record